This 377-nucleotide ribosomal RNA is filed under the name Pinnularia sp. NE-P13. RNAcentral describes it as "SSU rRNA". It matches the Rfam family "Eukaryotic small subunit ribosomal RNA", at positions 582 to 968 of the family's 1831-position model. RNAcentral also lists the same sequence under 1 other name. Lineage: Eukaryota; Bacillariophyta; Bacillariophyceae; Sellaphorales; Pinnulariaceae. The record is from RNAcentral.
AUUCCAGCUCCAAUAGCGUAUAUUAAAGUUGUUGCAGUUAAAAAGCUCGUAGUUGAAUUUGUGGGAAAGGCCAUGGUCCAAAUGUUUUGGUUCCGUUGGCCGUUGCCAUGCUUGUGUGGAACCUGUGGGGCAUUAGGUUGUCUCGCAGGGGAUGCUCAUCAUUUACUGUGAAAAAAUUAGAGUGUUCAAAGCAGGCUUAUGCCGUUGAAUAGAUUAGCAUGGAAUAAUGAGAUAGGACUUGGGUACUAUUUUGUUGGUUUGCGCACCAAAGUAAUGAUUAAUAGGGACAGUUGGGGGUAUUCGUAUUCCAUUGUCAGAGGUGAAAUUCUUGGAUUUUUGGAAGACGAACUACUGCGAAAGCAUUUACCAAGGAUGCU